UGGAGGAAAGCAGGGGAUCGUAAGACCUUGCGCUUUUGGAGUGGCCGAUGCCUGAUUAGCUAGUUGGUGGGGUAAAGGCCUACCAAGGCGACGAUCAGUAGUUGGUCUGAGAGGACGACCAGCCACACUGGGACUGAGACACGGCCCAGACUCCUACGGGAGGCAGCAGUGGGGAAUUUUGGACAAUGGGCGAAAGCCUGAUCCAGCAAUGCCGCGUGAGUGAAGAAGGCCUUCGGGUUGUAAAGCUCUUUCAGUCGAGAAGAAAAGAUUGUGAUGAAUAAUCACAGUUCAUGACGGUAUCGACAGAAGAAGCACCGGCUAACUACGUGCCAGCAGCCGCGGUAAUACGUAGGGUGCAAGCGUUAAUCGGAAUUACUGGGCGUAAAGGGUGCGCAGGCGGCUUUGUAAGUCAGAUGUGA
Molecule: ribosomal RNA, 419 nt
Filed under: uncultured ammonia-oxidizing beta proteobacterium
Lineage: Bacteria; Pseudomonadati; Pseudomonadota; Betaproteobacteria
Description: bacterial SSU rRNA
Rfam family: Bacterial small subunit ribosomal RNA
Source: RNAcentral